RNAcentral lists this ribosomal RNA (402 nucleotides) under uncultured bacterium. RNAcentral describes it as "partial 16S ribosomal RNA". It matches the Rfam family "Bacterial small subunit ribosomal RNA", at positions 28 to 525 of the family's 1533-position model. The record is from RNAcentral.
GACGAACGCUGGCGGCGUGCCUAAUACAUGCAAGUCGAACGCAGUGGGGACGGGUGAGUAACACGUGGGUAACCUCCCAUCAGAGGGGAUAACACUUGGAAACAGGUGCUAAACCGAUACUGAUGGAUGGACCCGCGGUGCAUUAGCGAGUUGGUGGGGUAACGGCUCACCAAGGCCACGAUGCAUAGCCGACCUGAGGGGGUGAUCGGCCACACUGGGACUGAAAAAGGGCCCAGACUCCGAGGGGGGGCAGCAGGGGGGAAUCUGCGGCAAUGGACGAAAGUCUGACCGAGCAACGCCGCGUGAGGAAAGAAGGUUUUCGGAUCGAAAAACUCUGUUGUGAGAGAAGCGGUAUCUAACCAGAAAGCCACGGCUAACUACGUGCCAGCAGCCGCGGUAAUA